Molecule: long non-coding RNA, 1019 nt
Organism: Corvus hawaiiensis (hawaiian crow)
Lineage: Eukaryota; Metazoa; Chordata; Aves; Passeriformes; Corvidae
Exons: 4
Source: RefSeq, a predicted model, not a curated record
GGUGCCGCGCUCGGCGCGCUGAGCUCCGCCGGGCCCGGAGCAGCCCCGGCCCGGGAGAGGAGGGGGCGCAGAGCGGGGGCUGCCUCCUGAGCCGCUCCUACCGGGGGCACCGACCGGGGGGCUGCAGAUGCGGCCGGGGGUCCCGGCGGGACGGUACCGAGGGGGCCGCAGCCCCCGCCGCCCGGGCGGUCCCGCUGCAGCCGCGGAGGCUCCUGUGCCCGGACCCGAGCCCUCGGCGGGGCUGUGCCGGGAGCGGCCCCGGCCCGGCCGAUGCUCGGUGGGUUAGCGGAGGAGUGAGUUGCCGGUGUUCCUUCAGGAUGAGCAGGGACGGGUCUGCGGGACUCCCGUGGCUGGGAUGCAGUGCUGGAAAUGAAGCCUGAUGGUGUGUGAGGCUGAGCUCCGAGUGCCAUUGUGACUGAGUGGGACCAUGUGCAGUUUGAGGAUCCGAGGUGCAGCCAGCUCCCCUCCGGCUGCUGAGCUCCACUGCAGUUGUAGCACGUGGAAACUACACUCCUGAUGAGCUCAAGCUAAGCCUUGUAGAGUCCAGUAGAAGACUUCGCCCAGCGGAAAACCUCACACCUCUGCUGCAGGACAUCACUGUGCCUGAUGCGGGUGUCCCCUGGACAGAGCUGGAACAGACGUUCAUUCUCUCACCUCUGCAGCUUGGGAGCUUAUGCUGAGAUUUUUUAUGUUCCUCGUUCUUUUUGCCAUCAGUCAGGCACGCACCUCACAUUUCUAGCUCCAGUGAAGGGAAGGUGGUAAGUUUGUUCAGAUGGAUCCCACGAGCUUUUGAACCUCUUGUGAGCCUUCUCUUGCCAGCCUUUCCUUCCCCAGACUCUUGUAUCUGCUGUUCUCUUAUUGUUUCCAUGGGUCAGCGCUGGUCACCUUCUUAGAUGGGAUUCUUUGUCUGAAAGCAUGAUUGGAAAAGGUGUCUACUCAGACAUGCACAGCUGCUUUAGUUACCAGUGUGGAAAUUCACUCUUUCCAUUUCUUUGGUUCCUCAUCCUUGAAGAGGAUGU